This 940-nucleotide ribosomal RNA is filed under the name uncultured bacterium. RNAcentral describes it as "bacterial SSU rRNA". It matches the Rfam family "Bacterial small subunit ribosomal RNA", at positions 551 to 1502 of the family's 1533-position model. The record is from RNAcentral.
UUACUGGGCUUAAAGAGUUCGUAGGUGGUUGAAAAAGUUGGUGGUGAAAUCCCAGAGCUUAACUCUGGAACUGCCAUCAAAACUUUUCAGCUAGAGUAUGAUAGAGGAAAGCAGAAUUUCUAGUGUAGAGGUGAAAUUCGUAGAUAUUAGAAAGAAUACCAAUUGCGAAGGCAGCUUUCUGGAUCAUUACUGACACUGAGGAACGAAAGCAUGGGUAGCGAAGAGGAUUAGAUACCCUCGUAGUCCAUGCCGUAAACGAUGUGUGUUAGACGUUGGAAAUUUAUUUUCAGUGUCGCAGCGAAAGCGAUAAACACACCGCCUGGGGAGUACGACCGCAAGGUUAAAACUCAAAUGAAUUGACGGGGACCCGCACAAGUAGUGGAGCAUGUGGUUUAAUUCGAAGAUACGCGCAGAACCUUACCAACACUUGACAUGUUCGUCGCGACUCUAAGAGAUUAGAGUUUUCGGUUCGGCCGGACGAAACACAGGUGCUGCAUGGCUGUCGUCAGCUCGUGUCGUGAGAUGUUGGGUUAAGUCCCGCAACGAGCGCAACCCUCACUUUUAGUUGCCAUCAUUUAGUUGGGCACUCUGAAAGAACUGCCAGUGAUAAGCUGGAGGAAGGUGGGGAUGACGUCAAGUCCUCAUGGCCCUUACGUGUUGGGCUACACACGUGCUACAAUGGCAUCUACAACAGGAAGCAAAACGGCAACGUUAAGCAAAUCCCGAAAAGAUGCCUCAGUUCGGAUUGCACUCUGCAACUCGAGUGCAUGAAGCUGGAAUUACUAGUAAUCGUGGAUCAGCGUGCCACGGUGAAUGCGUUCCCGGGUCUUGUACACACCGCCCGUCACACCAUGGGAGUUGGUUCUACCUUAAGGCAAGGUUUUAAACCCUUGACCACGGUAUAGUCAGCGACUGGGGUGAAGUCGUAACAAGGUAACCA